Triticum aestivum (bread wheat) is the source of this 127-nucleotide non-coding RNA. The record is from Rfam. NCBI's taxonomy places the organism in Eukaryota, Viridiplantae, Streptophyta, Magnoliopsida, Poales, Poaceae.
CAUGUACUCCCUCCAUCCGAGAAAGUUUGUGCCUCAAAUGGAUGUAUCUAGCACUAACUUGAUGCUAGAUACAACCAUUUGAAGAACAAACUUGGGACAAAGCUUUUUCGGACGGAGGGAGUACCAA